This 253-nucleotide ribosomal RNA is filed under the name uncultured bacterium. Its description in RNAcentral is "partial 16S ribosomal RNA". It matches the Rfam family "Bacterial small subunit ribosomal RNA", at positions 524 to 776 of the family's 1533-position model. The record is from RNAcentral.
GACGAACUGUCCUAACGUUGUUCGGAAUCACUGGGCUUAAAGGGCGCGUAGGCGGCCUUGUCAGUCAGGCGUGAAAGCCCCGGGCUCAACCUGGGAACGGCGCUUGGGACGGCGAGGCUGGAGUUCGGGAGAGGAGAGUGGAAUUCCCAGUGUAGAGGUGAAAUUCGUAGAUAUUGGGAAGAACACCGGUGGCGAAGGCGGCUCUCUGGACCGACACUGACGCUGAGGCGCGAAAGCGUGGGGAGCAAACAGG